AUUGAACGCUGGCGGCAUGCUUUACACAUGCAAGUCGAACGGCAGCGCGGGCUUCGGCCUGGCGGCGAGUGGCGAACGGGUGAGUAAUGCAUCGGAACGUGCCCAGUAGUGGGGGAUAGCCCGGCGAAAGCCGGAUUAAUACCGCAUACGAUCUGAGGGUGAAAGCGGGGGACCGAAAGGCCUCGCGCUAUUGGAGCGGCCGAUGUCGGAUUAGCUAGUUGGUGGGGUAAAGGCUUACCAAGGCGACGAUCCGUAGCUGGUCUGAGAGGACGACCAGCCACACUGGGACUGAGACACGGCCCAGACUCCUACGGGAGGCAGCAGUGGGGAAUUUUGGACAAUGGGGGCAACCCUGAUCCAGCCAUGCCGCGUGCGGGAAGAAGGCCUUCGGGUUGUAAACCGCUUUUGUUCGGGAAGAAAUCCUCUGGGCUAAUACCCCGGGGGGAUGACGGUACCGGAAGAAUAAGCACCGGCUAACUACGUG
This 484-nucleotide ribosomal RNA is filed under the name uncultured bacterium. RNAcentral's name for it is "partial 16S ribosomal RNA". It matches the Rfam family "Bacterial small subunit ribosomal RNA", at positions 28 to 507 of the family's 1533-position model. The record is from RNAcentral.